RNAcentral lists this ribosomal RNA (397 nucleotides) under Pseudoalteromonas sp. MSK9-3. RNAcentral describes it as "bacterial LSU rRNA". It matches the Rfam family "Bacterial large subunit ribosomal RNA", at positions 2040 to 2436 of the family's 2925-position model. Lineage: Bacteria; Pseudomonadati; Pseudomonadota; Gammaproteobacteria; Alteromonadales; Pseudoalteromonadaceae. The record is from RNAcentral.
AAUUGAAAUCGCAGUGAAGAUGCUGUGUACCCGCGGCUAGACGGAAAGACCCCGUGAACCUUUACUACAGCUUGGCACUGAACAUUGAACCUACAUGUGUAGGAUAGGUGGGAGACUUAGAAGCACAGUCGCUAGAUUGUGUGGAGUCAACCUUGAAAUACCACCCUUGUAGUUUUGAUGUUCUAACGUAGGCCCCUAAUCGGGGUUGCGGACAGUGCCUGGUGGGUAGUUUGACUGGGGCGGUCUCCUCCCAAAGAGUAACGGAGGAGCACGAAGGUUGGCUAAGUACGGUCGGACAUCGUACGGUUAGUGUAAUGGUAGAAGCCAGCUUAACUGCGAGACAGACACGUCGAGCAGGUACGAAAGUAGGUCAUAGUGAUCCGGUGGUUCUGAAUGG